GGAAGGGAGGGAGGGAGAGAGGGAGAGAGGGAGAGAGAGAGAAGUGGUGUUACAGAGAUUGAGGGGUGAUUGUUAUGUUGUGAUAGAUGAAGUUGGAUCCAGUACUGUGGUUAGGGUAAAGGGUAGGUCAACAGAAUAGUAAAUAUAAGUUGUGUGUCCCUCCUCUCCUAUACUGGUGUCUGUAACAGUAAAACACAGGGAAUUCCCUUUUCUGCUCCCUCUGAUAAAUACACCUCCGGGGGAUGAUUUCUGAGUGUUUUUUGUGGGCCUUACACAGAAACACAGAGCAUCAAUGGGCGUCAACUGAGUGUUCUCAGAAUAGCACAGGAAGUGACUUGAUUUGACUAUGACAUCACUUCCAUGUGGGGUGGUCCAGAACAGUUUGUUCAGUUGGAACAAACGGUUUUGCUAAUGUCAUCGGGUGUGUUUAUGUGUGGUAGUCCAUGUUUACCUGUUAAAUUCACCUGUGACGACUUCUCAGUUGAAGCAGAACACACACAGUUCUGAAUCGUUGAAGCUCGCUCCCACCAAUGCUGGAGAACGGUCACUGUUUGGCUGGCCCCAAGGGUGUCUACACAUCAGGCCCUGAGUGUUGCGAGAAACCAGGCCAGCCUGUUCCAUAGACACACCCGACCCACACACACACACGCUCACACACACACGCUCACACACACACACGCACCCCUCUGUAGCUAUCACUCUGUCAGAGCUCCCAUUAGCGUCAUUGUUCCCUUGGUGACAACAGGGUCAGGGGUCACUUAGCAACGGCAGAAUGUUGAGGACAAUUCCUGUGAGGGAGACUGGAGCUCAGUGCUUCUGGCCUUUUGUUCCAGAACAUAGCCUCAAGUCUGAAAAUAGAUAUGGGCUUUAAUAUUUCCACACUGUAUUCCUCCGCAAAGUGAUGACACACUUAGUCAGAUGACGUCAUCCCAGCUGAUGACACGUUAAUGUAUAGAGAAUCUAUUUCCUUCUAUGAUAUGAGGAAGCCGGCGUGAUGUUCUACAUGACACUGAGCAUGAUGGAUCGUCUCCUCUCCUUCUGGCUCGCUGCCAAGAAGGGGUUUACAUGUCUUAGAGUAAGCUUCCUCUUUCCUUAUUCCCUCUCUGAUCAGACAGCACACCGUAAACACAAGGGGUGGUGAUCGAUACAAGCAGUGUGAGAGUUCUUCCCAGUAACAAAUGUUUUUGACAAGGUAAACAGCGGUGAUAAAUGACUAUAGUACUGGAAAAGCACGAGUGUACGUAUAUGACACCACCAGGCUGUGCUGCCAUGUACCUGUGCUUCAUGUAGUACCUGCGUCACACUACCUGUGUACUCUAAUGACCGUUAGAGGAGUGGCCCUAUAUAGUCCUUACAGUGCACUAUAAACUGAAUAAUCAGAUAAAGAUGAUAUUAUGACAAAGCUUAUCAUAUACUGGGAACCACGUACAUAUACGCUGGCAAAAGAACAUUCUGGGACUUGGAUAUGCUUACACCUAUGGCUAGUUUUUCUCUCUCUCUCUCUCUCUCUCUCUCUCUCUCUCUCUCUCUCUCUCUCUCUCUCUCUCUCUCUCUCUCUCUCUCUCUCUCUGGAGUGGCACUGCGACACAGAGUGAUUGAACCUUUAGAUAUUGUGGCGGGCGGAGAUCAAAAACUUCCUGUAGUUAUUGAUUUGUAGGGAAGGAGAGGUGCCUGAGGAAUGAUUUGUAGGGAAGGAGAGGUGCCUGAGGAAUGAUUUGUAGGGAAGGAGAGGAGCCUGAGGAAUGAUUUGUAGGGAAGGAGAGGAGCCUGAGGAAUGAUUUGUAGGGAAGGAGAGGAGCCUGAGGAAUGAUUUGUAGGGAAGGAGAGGAGCCUGAGGAAUGAUUUGUAGGGAAGGAGAGGAGCCUGAGGAAUGAUUUGUAGGGAAGGAGAGGAGCCUGAGGAAUGAUUUGUAGGGAAGGAGAGGAGCCUGAGGAAUGAUUUGUAGGGAAGGAGAGGAGCCUGAGGAAUGAUUUGUAGGUAAGGAGAGGAGCCUGAGGAAUGCUCUUCAGAUGUACAGUCAUUGAUUCUAGAGGUGGAAGAGAGAAGUGCACAGACACCGAGGGCUUUGGACUGGCCGUGAGUCAGCAACCAAACACUGGGCGCCUUUGAGGAGAACCGCUAUGGUGCUGGGGGGAGGUCAGAAAUAGUUGGCUCAUUUACCAUCUGCAUAUCCAACGAUAGAGAAAUUAUAUAUUCUUCUCUGGAGACCGUGACAUAAACUUCUAGCCUAAUCAUCAUUCAUUCGCCUACACAGUACUAUCAGAUGUCUGAACUUGAAGAUUUCUCUCUUGAUAAACAAUGUUGUACAGUCAUAGCGUGGCUGCUGGAAAAUUAGUUUACGGUAAAAAGGAGCUCUCUUUUUGGGAAGUUGCCUUGGCGAUGGGCCAACAGGGAGUCCGUCUGCGGUCAAUUUUUGGGACUUUGUGUGUGUGUGUGUGUGUGUGUGAGUUUUUAUUAUUUGCCACCAUGUUGAAAGACAUUCUGCUUCCUGACAUUUGAGUGUUGUUGUGACUCAGUGUUUGUGGCCUGUGUCAAAAUGAAAAGCAAAUGUGUCCCAUCUCAAAUGGAUUUUAGGGCUUUAGUAAGAAAAUAACAGUCCUCAGUUUGCUGCGGUAGAUGUUUGUCAGAGACUAAGAAUGUACUGUACAGAUAUACUAUCUUAAUUUGACCAGUUUGGCACAGCAGGAAAAUAAUCCUGCAGGAACAGGAAAUGUGAAUUAUUAUGUGGAUUGUAAUUAAUGGAUGUUUUUGUAGGGCUUGAUUCAUAAAAAAUAAAAAAAUGUUUUUAUCAAGUCUGACAAUUUAAAGUGGAAAUGACAUACUUAAGAAGUCUUUUUAAACCUCAAAUACACUACAAUUUGCAUUUCCUGUUGCACCUCAAAAUUCUCUGCGACAACACUAUGAUGAAAUUAUGAUAGCACAUCUGUGUAUAAUUGGUUUACUGUUAACGUGAACCACUUUCUAAAGAUAUGUGAGUUUUGUCUCAGCUUAAUUCCAAGGAGGGUGAUGGUUCCCCCCUUUCCCCUCUCUUGCAAUACACACACACAAACACACACCCUGUCAGUUGGGAGGUGUGGAGAUAAACAGGAGGCUGAUCACAGCAGCCCUGAAUGCCACAUCAUUUAGUGACUCACCCUGCCGUCAUCCAGCCCUCCGGGGGUCACACACGUCACCCAGAGCCCCACAACACAGCCCCUCUUCCUGGCAUGGGCUAACUCUGCCUGCCCCCCCCCCCGGCCUACUCAUCCCUUACUGGCUUCCUGGCAGCCUGCUCCUGAGCCGGAGUUGAAGAGAGUCUCUGUUUUUCCCUCUCGCACAUUUCCAGAGCCUUUCAGUCUCAUACGCAGAAAAACAAGGGCUAUUUUUUUAACCGUGCUCCAAUUAGGCUGUUAAGAUUGUUUAUCUGUUUCCGCGAAAGACGUGUCCUCCCGGCUUGCAGUGGCACAGAAAAUGGACGAAAGUUCGUCCCGUUCCCGGAACUGGAUCCAAACAAAGGCAGAUGUUUAAGAUUCUUUAGAAAGCGAGGAGACGCACUUGUUAUUGUCCUCUUUUUCUCUGACCGUGGAAAAAUACUUUGGAGGGUUAUGGAGAAACGUCAGCCUGCCUUGUGUGUGUUCUGAAAAUCCAGGAACUCUUAAAUCUUAUCUUAUGAUGUGGGCUUAUUUUUGUGUGUGUGUGUGGCAUUCAAGUGUGUGGCACUGUACUGUAUUCCUCGCUUACUGCAUAGAUGCAUGUUCGAUAGUAUUUGAUUAAAAGCCCCUACUUACUCCACAACCAUGAUGGAUGUUCUGUUCUCCCUCCAUCAGACUGAUCUGCCAUUAGCAUAGCUCCACACAGCGGGCCAUCAGUACAGCCUAUUGCUCUGCAUGGCCCAUGCAUGAACCCCUAGUGCAGCUAGCACUCGCGCGCUGAUGCACAUUAACACACACAUGAGCCCAGCGAUACACACUAGGCUUAACCGCAUUAUCUGGAAAGAGGUACUGACAGAGACACUUAUCCAGUAAUGGAGGGUCUUUAUUGGUUAACUCCUGGAAUGGCCCUCAGAGAAUGGCCCCAUCAUCCAGUUUAAUGCCUUAUCACCACAUCUGUACUGAACGUGUGGCAUCAUCUGUCACGGUUCACAUACUGUACAGCACAGGGUCUUUGACGGGGCUGCAGUCUCCUUCAUUAUCAUUACUCAGUUGGCACUCUUGUUUUGUAGCAUCCUACGCAGAUUAACACCCACGCGCACACACAGAAACACACACACCCAAUAUUCACAUCAUGGACACCGGUGCAUGUUGGCUGUGUACCCUAUCACGAAAGAUCUGUUUCAAUGUGCAACCUCCUCCUUUAGCUUCUUCCAUUGACUUUCCAUAGACUUUCUUGAUCAGGAAUCCAAUAAUGAGACUUAAGCCCGAGUUUCCAGGGGUUCUGAAAAGACUAGGAGGGAAGGUAUUAAUCAGUAGUAUGUCAACACUGAUUCACUGUCUCUGAUGAAAUGCCAGUCACUCCUUUGAGCCUCUUCAGCACCACAUUCCGCUACACAGUUCCUGGAACAAUUAUGUCAAUAUAAUGGCUCAGAUGCUAUCUUUACGGGAAUGAAGGAUAAGCUCAGGUCAGUGAUGAUGUAGUCCCAGGGGGAUAGAGGGGUUUGACGUGCUGCCUGUUGAAGACAGCCCAGUAGGGAGAACUUAGAGAGGAGUCAGUCAUCAGGCCUCAUAAAGCUCUGGAUGACUCACUGUUAACACCUCAGCAGUGUGCGCUCUCUAUUCCGCUAUAGUGAGUCCCAUCAGAACAGUGUUUCUCACAUUUAUCAGAUGACUGAUUCGCAUUAUAUUAGAUGUGUUGUCAUGGUGGGAAAGAUGCUCUGACUGAUGACUCAUAAUCCCUUUAACCUCCCACACGUAUCGACACACACACACACACACACACACACACACACACACACACACACACACACACACACACACACACACACACACACACAAUACACACACACACAAAACCCGUAGGUAAGUAAUGCCAUAUCCGGCAGGAGGGGUAACCUUGUCGUCUGAUUUUCAUAAUGGCAGUGAGUAAUUCUUCCUGUGUAAUGAGAACAUCCUUUCCAGAGUCAACCCUCUAUCAUCCCCCAUCUCCUUUCAUCAUUCAUCCUCCUCUUAUGCACCUUGACCACAAUCAACCCUCUCGCAGUCACCCCACAUCCACAGAGCUCCGUCUGUCUGUCUCCUCCUCUUGUGUGAGGCGUUUAUGUGUGUUUGAAACUCAGAGUGGACGACUUGCAGCACAUACCGUUUCCACCCUUUUCUGAAACUAACAAAUUAAUAACCUUGUGUCACUUUUUUGGAUGAGUAUAAGAUGAAGUCUAAUCUCACUAAAUAGGUGUGCCGCAAGGCAGAUGUGCCCAUACAAGUUUGGACAAAAGAAAGAUGCUACUCUACCCAGCAUCGGAAUAGGCCGGCCUCUCCCUGAAAAAGGAAUCUCAUAUAAUUUUCAGGAAAAUUACCCCCCCACCCCACUCCACCACCAUCCAGGCUGUUAUAUAAACACACCACCGUCACUCUCUCUCUUUCUUGCUCUCUCUCUCUCUUUCUUGCUCUUGAUCUUUUUGAAACCCCGAGUGAAGGAAUGGAGGAGCAACAGCAGGAAGGGCGACAUUACUGUCACCCGCAGCAGCUAGGGCCUGCCGGGCUGGUGUGUGGGAGUCUAUCUCUGCAUGUUACUUCCUGGGAGAGAAUGAAACAGAAAGCGCAACGGCCAACCCUCCACAAGGGCUCCUUUCACAUAUGGGGGGGGGGGGGGGGAGAAAGGGAGCGGUAACGUUGAAAUGUGUCUCUUACUUAUUCAUUCAUCCCACAGGGUGUUGUUGUUAGGUUUGAGGUUGGCUUCUCUCUUUCCUCUCCCCUACCAUGCUACGGACUGGUGCUGGUGGGUGACUACUUAUGGUGUGGUUUAUGAGAUGUUAUGCUGCCCCUGGUGUCCAAAGGCAGGAUUGUAGAAAAGUGUCACGUUGUGAUGAUACUGUUCCAUCCAACUGUGUUUUCCUUCUUUACAACAUGCGCUGACAUACACCAUGUUAUAUGGCCAUUAUAG
This 6075-nucleotide long non-coding RNA is filed under the name Salmo salar (Atlantic salmon). RNAcentral describes it as "lncRNA (ENSSSAG00000099922.1)". Lineage: Eukaryota; Metazoa; Chordata; Actinopteri; Salmoniformes; Salmonidae. The record is from RNAcentral.